CUUCGCACGACCCUUGACCUUUCCGGGGCAGGGUUACUUAACUCCGAGGGAGAACAGUGGCGGCAUCCAUAGGAACAUCACACGCACUGGGGACUGCAGUACUGGUGGAUUGGGCUAUGAUCCACCGCACCUGGGGUAGGUGUGAGGGAUAUCUAGUGUGACCGCCCCUAUCGGGUGCAGUCACGUGUACUCUCACGCCAUGAAAUAAUUGUCACCAGACAUGGUGGUCUAUGCAUCUCAGAGAUUGCUUUAAUGGUGUAAAGAUGGUAUGGGUUAAUGAUGUAAAGACCAAAAUAUAUGCAAUGAGUGGACGUUCUGUGGAUGAGAACAAGUUCUUAAAAAUAAGAAGUCAGAGAAAAAUGGCCAGUUUUGUUCAAGCUUAAAGUAAAAUAUUGAAAAAAUGUUGCCAGCUCUGACAAAACUUGAUUUCUUCUGUAGCUUGUUGAUAGCAGUGUUGGAUUUUGCCACAAACAACAUAAAUCAAUGAAUGCAACAUGCCUUGUAGCAACUGUUCAGG
This is a non-coding RNA of Pelobates cultripes (western spadefoot toad), 517 nucleotides long. NCBI's taxonomy places the organism in Eukaryota, Metazoa, Chordata, Amphibia, Anura, Pelobatidae. The record is from the annotation of a GenBank genome assembly.